This 406-nucleotide ribosomal RNA is filed under the name uncultured bacterium. Its description in RNAcentral is "partial 16S ribosomal RNA". It matches the Rfam family "Bacterial small subunit ribosomal RNA", at positions 30 to 526 of the family's 1533-position model. The record is from RNAcentral.
AUUGAACGCUGGCGGCAGGCCUAACACAUGCAAGUCGAACGAGUGGCGGACGGGUGAGUAAUGUCUGGGAAACUGCCUGAUGGAGGGGGAUAACUACUAGAAACGGUAGCUAAUAACGCAUAACAUCAGAUGUGCCCAGAUGGGAUUAGCUAGUUGGUGGGGUAAAGGCUCACCAAGGCGCCGAACCCUCGCUGGGCUGAGAGGAUGACUAGCCACACUGGAACUGAGACACGGUCCAGACUCCUACGUGAGGCAGCAGUGGGUAAUAGUGCACAAUGGGCGCAAGUCUGAUGCAGCCAUGCCGCGUGUAUGAUGAAGGCCUUCGGGUUGUAAAGUACUUUCAGCGGGGAGGCGUUACCCGCAGAAGAAGCACCGGCUAACUCCGUGCCAGCAGCCGCGGUAAUUC